RNAcentral lists this ribosomal RNA (773 nucleotides) under uncultured sediment archaeon. Its description in RNAcentral is "bacterial SSU rRNA". It matches the Rfam family "Archaeal small subunit ribosomal RNA", at positions 582 to 1353 of the family's 1478-position model. The record is from RNAcentral.
AACUGCAAAGCUAGGGAGUGGGAGAGGUAGACGGUACUCGGUAGGAAGGGGUAAAAUCCUUUGAUCUAUUGAUGACCACCAGUGGCGAAGGCGGUCUACCAGAACACGUUCGACGGUGAGGGAUGAAAGCUGGGGGAGCAAACCGGAUUAGAUACCCGGGUAGUCCCAGCUGUAAACGAUGCAGACUCGGUGAUGCCCUGGCUUGUGGCCAGUGCAGUGCCGCAGGGAAGCCGUUAAGUUUGCCGCCUGGGAAGUACGUACGCAAGUAUGAAACUUAAAGGAAUUGGCGGGGGAGCACCACAAGGGGUGAAGCCUGCGGUUCAAUUGGAGUCAACGCCAGAAAUCUUACCCGAGGAGACAGCAGAAUGAAGGUCAAGCUGGAGACUUUACCAGACAAGCUGAGAAGUGGUGCAUGGCCGUCGCCAGCUCGUGCCGUGAGAUGUCCUGUUAAGUCAGGUAACGAGCGAGAUCCCUGCCUCUAGUUGCCACCAUUACUCUCAGGAGUAGUGGGGCGAAUUAGCGGGACCGCCGCAGUUAAUGUGGAGGAAGGAAGGGGCCACGGCAGGUCAGUAUGCCCUGAAACCUUGGGGCCACACGCGGGCUGCAAUGAUAGUGACAAUGAGUUCCUAAACCGAAAGGUGGAGGCAAUCUUCAAACGCUAUCACAGUUAUGAUUGAGGGCUGCAACUCGCCCUCAUGAAUAUGGAAUCCCUAGUAACUGCGUGUCAUUACCGCGCGGUGAACACGUCCCUGCUCCUUGCACACACCGCCCGU